UACGGGGGGGGCAAGCGUUGUCCGGAAUUAUUGGGCGUAAAGAGCUCGUAGGCGGUCUGUUACGUCUGCUGUGAAAACCCGGGGCUUAACCCUGGGCUUGCAGUGGAUACGGGCAGACUAGAGGCAGGUAGGGGAGAAUGGAAUUCCCGGUGUAGCGGUGAAAUGCGCAGAUAUCGGGAGGAACACCGGUGGCGAAGGCGGUUCUCUGGGCCUGACCUGACGCUGAGGAGCGAAAGCGUGGGGAGCGAACAGG
RNAcentral lists this ribosomal RNA (253 nucleotides) under uncultured bacterium. RNAcentral describes it as "partial 16S ribosomal RNA". It matches the Rfam family "Bacterial small subunit ribosomal RNA", at positions 524 to 776 of the family's 1533-position model. The record is from RNAcentral.